Molecule: ribosomal RNA, 186 nt
Filed under: Salmonella enterica
Lineage: Bacteria; Pseudomonadati; Pseudomonadota; Gammaproteobacteria; Enterobacterales; Enterobacteriaceae
Description: partial 23S ribosomal RNA
Rfam family: Bacterial large subunit ribosomal RNA
Source: RNAcentral
UAAAUUAAAUGCGGAAGAGAUAAGUGCUGAAAGCAUCUAAGCACGAAACUUGCCCCGAGAUGAGUUCUCCCUGAGACUUAGAGUCUCCUGAAGGAACGUUGAAGACGACGACGUUGAUAGGCCGGGUGUGUAAGCGCAGCGAUGCGUUGAGCUAACCGGUACUAAUGAACCGUGAGGCUUAACCUU